AGGGAAAGGUCUCUAAAUAUAGUGAUUUUUAUGGAGCCAGGACCUAGUGCAAGUUUUCCGAGCUCUAGUGAAUCUAAGCAUGGCGACGCUGUUUCUUAAAAAACAAAUUUUAAUCUUUGUCAAGAUGUUUCCUUCUAAUUACAACAACAACAACAUACCCAGUGUAUUCCCGCAAGUGGGGUGGGGUAGAGUGUACGCAGACCUUACCCCUGCCUUUAAAAGGCAGAGAGGCUGUUUUCGGAAAGAUGUUUCCUUCUGAUUAGAAAAAGAAAAUGUUUUUGACUCUGAAAGGUAGUAGUUAGUAGAACGUACAUUCUCAAUCAUUAGAAAGGAAAUGGUACAAGUACUUUUCUUUCUUCUUCUUCUUGCCUUGUAUGUUGGCUUCCCUUUAGUUUUCCAUUGCCAUGGUUUCACUUCCUAGGGAUUCCUUUUCUUUUUAUCUUUUGGCUGUAUAUGAACUGAUUCUUUUAAACUUAUCAGGGUUGUCAGACUGAACUUCCACAUUUUAUGCACUUACCAAAAUUAUAAGAAGCAGGCGUCCUGAGCAGAGAGGGAAAACAUAUACUAUGCAAUGAUGUGCUCUUUCCUUAAUGGAGAAAACAUAUACUAUCCAAAGGACAUAUCCACUUGCAUUGGUUCCUAUGAUGUUGCUCCAGGUCAAAUUUAUUGUGGUUUCUUUUUAUGUCAUAAAAUGUUUUCUGCUCUUGAAAUCUAAGUAAUAAGUCGGACAGGUAGGAUAAGUGAGAGUGGCCCUGAGGUUUUGAUACUGAAUAUUUUGUUAAACUUUUAAAGGGCCUCUAACUGGACAAUUUUGAUAAGGUAACAGAUUUUUGUCUUUUGGAAAUGGUAGCUUGGCUCAAAAGAGUAGCAAUUAUGUCUACAUGCUAUAUCAGGCCUUUUUGGACUGUGUCCUUUAACUAUGCCACUGGAUUUCACCGCCUUCUAUAAUGGCUAACUAAUUACUUGUUUACACCUGACUUUCCUGUUAGAUAACAGUAUCAUUCUUGCUGGUUUGAACAUCUUUAGCAUACUAGAUAGCUUGGGAUUUUGGCUCUGUAACUUAAGUAACACUAGCCCUCGGUAUGAUUGGCAUUUUCAACAUAGUAGAAAGGCAUAUUAAUGUUUCGUAUUGUGAAACUUGAAACACCUGCAAUGUUCACCCAUACUAUGCAUUAAUCUGCUUAUCAUUGCUACAGUAUAAUAUUUCUGUUGUCAUUCAUGUAUUGUCUAAUUUUGUCUGUCUAAUUUGUGGACAUGCUGCUAUGUGUCUUCUAGUUUUUACGCUUAAAGGCAUCUGACAAACAUUCGCAGAGUUUUGAUGCAAAUAUGAUAUGGGGUUCAAGCCACCAUAUGUGGAUAUAGUGAGAGUAGCCAAUGGUGCUCAGCCUCAUGCAAAGCAUCUUUUACUUUAGUGAAGCCAGGUACGAUCAGGUGAAAGCCAGGCUCGAUCAGGUGUUCUGUUACAUCAAAGAGAAGCCGGUACACUGAUUUACUGUUUAAAUCUAUAUGCUGCAGGUCUAGUUGUUUUAUAUUGUUAUCUUUUCUUUUUUACUUUUAACAGGUAGUGUUUGAAUUAGUUUGCACGCAUCUAGACUAUUUCUUACCUCUUAUGUCCCACCAACUCAAGUAUCGGCUAAAUAUCCAUCAAAGCUUAGGUCAACUAAAAGAAGUCAUCUAGCGUUUUUUUGCCUCUGCUGCUAUUUGAAUUGUGUUCUUUCAUGAUAUUCACUCCUUAGAUUUACUGCAAGGUCAUACUCUUGGGUGCUAACGAUAUACUGCUGGCCUUGUUUCGUUAAUUCACCGACUUCAGUCAAUAUUGAUGACCCAUUAUGAAAUUUUAACUCGUGCACAGUUCAUGAUAAAGGCAUGGAUUGAUCCUUUUGGGAGCUAUUCUUUGCUUAGUUCCUAUGUGUAAUGUUUAACUCCACAAUGUGAACUUAUCAGAUUGUAUUUUUAUAUUGACUUAAUUUUUGCCUUA
This is a non-coding RNA of Nicotiana tabacum (common tobacco), 1978 nucleotides long. The record is from RefSeq and is a predicted model, not a curated record. NCBI's taxonomy places the organism in Eukaryota, Viridiplantae, Streptophyta, Magnoliopsida, Solanales, Solanaceae.